CUAAAUCAGGCGAACGGAAGGAGGAGAGCGCCUCUGGAGCUCUCAGGAACCCUAUUGCACGAAAGAACCCUAAUCAGCCUUGGCUCCCACCCUUCCCACACGAUUGAGGGAAUGAUAUUCCUCUCGAUGGUUUCUGGUUCUGGUUCAGUUGAAUGGCAAGCCUUCAUCAUGUCUCUAAUCCAAUCUCUGAAUACAGACAACAACAGUAUGCAUGUGUUCGGAGAACCAGAAGUUGACAAACUUCAAACCUAAAUCAGGAACAAAAUAGGCUAUUACAUUGAAAUAUGACCAUAAGAAAAUAUGACUCGCCUUGGAUUCUGAAGAGAGAAGAUAUGAUUUAGUUGUCAAUUCAUACAGUGGGUGAUGAUGAGAAGUUUUCCAAACAAUUUUGAACAUGUCGCUAAUGGACUUUUUUGUUUAUUGUUUAGACAGUAUCUGCGACUGGUUUCUCUUAGAUUGGAGAGCAGGUUUCUUUUCAUCGAUGGUCGACCUUUUUCGAGUCGACAUCAGUUUAUUAAAACUCAUUUCAUAUGACAUAAAUCAGCAAUUGAUCCUUAAGUCUUCCCUAAA
Non-coding RNA from Phoenix dactylifera (date palm), 570 nucleotides. NCBI's taxonomy places the organism in Eukaryota, Viridiplantae, Streptophyta, Magnoliopsida, Arecales, Arecaceae. The record is from RefSeq and is a predicted model, not a curated record.